RNAcentral lists this long non-coding RNA (3753 nucleotides) under Sus scrofa (pig). RNAcentral's name for it is "lncRNA (ENSSSCG00000059867.1)". The record is from RNAcentral. Lineage: Eukaryota; Metazoa; Chordata; Mammalia; Artiodactyla; Suidae.
GAUCCAUGCAUUCAUAGUUUCAAAUGCUGCACUACACCUGACCUUCAGUGGCCUCUGGCCUCUCCUUCCUCUUCAUGUGCUGUUUUCCUGCCUUACAGAGCUAAUUCCUUUGCUGAUUUCUAUACUAUGAAUGCUUGUGGCUUUGGUUUGCCAGGGCACCAAUUCUGACCCCCACUCUGCAGAACUUUUCAGAACUGUCUCUCAGUUCAAAUUACAGAGCAAAUAUGUCUGCUCACUGUACAACUAAUAUACUAGUUCUUCUCUGAUCUUUGUUCAAAUGCUGGCCCCACCACUUCUAGAUGUGUGACUUUGACCAUGAUACUUUGAACAGAAAAACAACUGAACAACAACAAAAAAUUCCACUUCAUUGGGCUGUUAUGCAGAUUAAAUGCACAUUUACAUAUUGCGACUAUCACACUUCUGGCACCUACUAAGUUAGUCUCCUUCUUCCUCCAAAGACAGUGGUAAGCCUAAAAGCAUUUGCUAUUUCUCACACACACUGACACAUGCGUUACCCACCCCCCACCUAUAGAAUAUUUCCACAGACACUCACAAUGUGGUCUAAUGAGUCUUGUUGCUUCUCCCUUUCGUCACUUUUGGAAACAGCCAUUUUUGUAACUUAGUACAGAGAUAGAAAAGAAAGUUUCUGAAACUCAGAAUAGCUUCACUUACUUUUGUUAGUCUCUCUGGUUGAGAAGAAAAUUAAAACUAAAAGCCAAAAUGAAAUUUUGGUUUUGACUGUCUGGGUAUUUUUCUUUUUUUUCUUUUUUUUUUUUUUUUUUGUCUUUUUGUCUUUUUGCUAUGUCUUUGGGCCGCUCCCUUGGCAUAUGGAGGUUCCCAGGCUAGGGUUCGAAUCAGUGCUGUAGCCACCAGCCUACACCAGAGCCACAGCAACGCGGGAUCCGAGCCGCGUCUGCAACCUACACCACAGCUCACGGCAACGCCGGAUCGUUAACCCACUGAGCAAGCGCAGGGACCGAACCCGCAACCUCAUGGUUCCUAGUUGGAUUCGUUAACCACUGCGCCACGACGGGAACUCCUGUCUGGGUAUUUUAAUUCAUCUAUGCUGUGUUAGUUUGGGUACUAUAACAAAUUACCACCCAGGUAGUACAAACAACAAACAUUUAUUUCUUACAGUUCUGGAGGCUGAAAGUGGAAGAUCUAGGUGCCCAUAGAUCCAGUAUCGAUCGGAUGAGAACCCAUGCCCUGGUUUGCAGAUGGCUGCUGUCUUGCUGUGCCCUCCUGUGGCAGAGAUCUGGGAGCACAAGCUCUCAUGUCACUUCUUAUAAAGGCACUAAUGCCAUUCUUAACGGCUCCACCCUUGUGACCUAAUUACCUCCCAAGGACCCCACCUCUAAAUGAAAUCGUAUUGAUGGGUUAAGAUUUUGUCAUAUGACUUUGAAGGGGAUAUUCAGUCCAUAACCAGUGCCAUCUGUCAGCCCUGUGGCCUUUAUUUUUAAAAUAGAGACUUUGCAUGUAUUCUAGGUUUUCAUUUUUACUUGUUUUAAGUUUUGUAAGUCUCUGAAUGUAGACAAGGUUAAAAAUAGGUAAUAAGUCUUAAGUUAUUUUCCCUCUUUUUUUUUGCUUCAUUUCCUGACAUGUUUCCUGUCUCUUUGUUGGGUAAAAUUAGCAUCUUCCCUUAGUUUUUAAGAGCUCCAUAAACUCUCAGUCCUCCUCAGCCAUACUUUGGGUUAGUUUGUCUUGUUGCUUUUUGCUUUUGGUCAGUGGAGAGACUACAGCUUGUCAGGAUAUGCCUCUGCAGGAUGGAAACUAGAGAGAAAAUUCUGACAAGUAGUUUUUAUUUGAUAAGCUCUCUCAUGUUAAGUUGAGUCCUCUCUUUGCCUUAUCAGGACAGGAGGUAGAGAAGCUUUUUAGAUCUUUUUUCUUCUAGGAAACUUUGCACAUCUGGAGCAAAAGCCUCCUUUCUUAUAUUUUGCCAUAUUGUUCAAAGCUUUUAAGAAAAAAAAAAAAAAAACAGCAAAGAUAAAAUCAGUUUUCAUCCAGAGAUAGCUCCUUUUGGAAGCCCUGGACUGAAGAGAGAUUUUCAGGAGGCAGGAGGUCACUUUCUUUUGAAGUCAGACAGCUGUCUCUUUAUCAUAUUGACAAUUUCUGGCUGGGAAGAACAUCUGAAAAACAUAUUUCCCAACAUGAAAGUUGAGGCAGCUCUUUACCCUGCCACUUCCUGUUCUAGUCUCUACAGGAGUUCCUCCAAACAAACCUCAUGUUAUAAGAGUGGCAGGCCUACUCUUUCCAUCCCAUUCUGCUUUACAGCCUUUUAAAGGUCUGCCCUCAUCCUCCUCUCUCUCAACCCCACUUCUAUAAGUGUUUUGAAUUUUAUGCUUUAGAGAUGAGAGAAAAGUCUAAUGUCUCAAUGACAGCAUUUGAAGGGCAUUUUGGCCCCUGCAGAAAUAAAUAAAUCAUCAGAUCUACUUUGAAACUGGGAACUGAGUGGGACUGUAGACCGUAUGAACUUUGCAGACCUUGCUCAGAAUCCUCAGUAAGGUUGAGUGAUGCUUUAAGAAGGCAUUUUACAUAGAUAUGCCAUGCUCCUGCUUAUGACCUUGAAAGGAACUAGGGACACCAUUUUCCCUAGUCAGAAGGCCCAGGGAUGGACCUUCUCUGCAAAAAAAGAAAAAUAAUUUAUGGAACAAUUAUUUAAAUAAUAACAACAAGCAAUUUUAUUGAAUAUCUGCUCUGUAGUGGGUACUAUAUAAAAUGCUUUUAUAAGCAUUACCUCAUUUAAUUCUGCCACCAACUCUGUGAUUUCUCCAUUUACAGAUGAAGGAACAGAAAUAAGUGAAGCAGAGGCAGACAUGUAUAAGCAUUGUUUGUAGUAGUCAUAAAUGAAAAUGACCUGACUGCUCAUUAGAAAUAUUUAGAUAUGGUUUUUUAAAAAAGUAAUUUGUAAUAUAAUAUUGAUUUUAAAAGCAACCCUUUUUAAAAUAGCUAGAUAGAAAUGAGAGAAGGACUGAAAGAAAUUUGGUUAUAAUUUAAAUUGAACACAUAGUAUGAACUAGGAAGCCCAAUGCCUCUCAAAGAAAACUCCUGCCCAAUUCUAGAUCAGUCUCUUGGUCCAUAAGAAGCUUUUUGUACAUGUUUUACUGGACUGUCAAGCAUAGCACCCUCUUGUGAUGCUGACAGAAUGUCUAGUGAGGCAAACACAUAGGGUGACGAUAUAAUUUAUCAUCCAAAUCAGGACUCUUUUAAGAGUGAAAGUGGUGCUAUCAAUAACUACUCUGGACAACAGGCAUAACCCCAGGAGUAUCCUGAGCAGACCAGGAUACAUGGUCCAGUCUCAUGCACAGGAGACCCUCCAGUGGACAAGUUCCUGUCAAUUCCACAUAUGGCUGUGAUUCUGAGUCAAGGUUCCACCCUUCCUUGGCUCCAGGGCUCCAUCCUGAUUUAACAUCCUGCUACUUCAUCUCUGUGUUCAUGUGUUAUAUCUUUUUCCUUCUCAUUCCCUGACUGACUUCAGGUACCUCUGCCCCAGCAAACUCCCUGGGGUUAAUAGCCUCUUUUAUGUCUCCAAGGGGAUGAGCUCAUCCUCCACUGAAGACAACAGAACCACAGACCCUGUUUCACUAUCAUCCUCUGUAAAUCGCAACAUGACCACUACCAUCUGCACAGAUUCAUGCAGGGCAAAAUAAAGCAGAAGCCUGGACUCCCUGAGGAGAAGGAGGCUGGCUCACAAUCUCCUCAGCUUCACUCCAGAAGACCAGACAGUCCUAAGCUCCAGGGAACAAAAGAGAAAAC